UUGGUUCAUCCAGUGGAAUCUAAAUUUGUUAAAUUUUUUCUAAUUAGAUAAUCAUUUUAAUAUUUACAGGUUGUUAUUAAAAAUAUAUAAAUUUAAAGUUAUUGAGAAAGUUUUUAGGAGAGUAAAACUUUAGUGCCAGCAUCCGCGGUCAUACUAGGUCUUCGAGCAAAUUUUGUCCAAUAGGUUAUGAAGUGUUAAUUUUUAUUAAAAUUGGUCCUUUUUGAGUGAAAUUUUAAAUGUAUUUGGUAUUAUAUAAAUUUAUUUUUCAUAUUAAAGGUUGAAUAUAAACUAGAACGAAUUUGCACGAAUAUCUUACCUUUUUAUUAUAUGUCGUCCACUGCCGUCGGAAGUUUUAGUCAUGAAGGCUUUCCUUUUUCUUUUCCACAUUUAGGUUGAGAAGUAAGUCAGGUAAAGGUGCGCAUUAUUCUAAGGUUUAGGUGUGCCUCUAUGAAGUUUUUAUUUGGAUUUGCUUUUUAAAUAUCAAUGAAAUAGAAUCUAAUAGUAAAAUUUUGUUUAUUAAACUUUUUUGAAAAUUUAUCGAUUAAGCACAGAUUGCCCGUCAGUCAUUUGAGAAAAUGAUAAGUCGAAACAUAGUUGACCUACUGGAAGG
Molecule: ribosomal RNA, 610 nt
Filed under: Falcolipeurus quadripustulatus
Lineage: Eukaryota; Metazoa; Arthropoda; Insecta; Psocodea; Philopteridae
Description: 12S ribosomal RNA
Source: RNAcentral